GGACGAUUAGCUCAGUUGGUAGAGCAUUCGCUUGACGUGCGAAAGGUCGAAGGUUCGAGCCCUUUAUCGUCCACCA
RNAcentral lists this transfer RNA (76 nucleotides) under Clostridia bacterium. Its description in RNAcentral is "tRNA-Val". It matches the Rfam family "tRNA". From Rfam's summary of the family: Transfer RNA (tRNA) molecules are approximately 80 nucleotides in length. Their secondary structure includes four short double-helical elements and three loops (D, anti-codon, and T loops). The record is from RNAcentral. RNAcentral also lists the same sequence under 1 other name. Lineage: Bacteria; Bacillati; Bacillota; Clostridia.